RNAcentral lists this ribosomal RNA (253 nucleotides) under uncultured bacterium. RNAcentral's name for it is "partial 16S ribosomal RNA". It matches the Rfam family "Bacterial small subunit ribosomal RNA", at positions 524 to 776 of the family's 1533-position model. The record is from RNAcentral.
UACGUAGGGUGCGAGCGUUGUCCGGAAUCAUUGGGCGUAAAGCGCGCGUAGGCGGCCAGAUAAGUCCGGUGUGAAAGUCACAGGCUCAACCUGUGAAUGCCGCUGGAAACUGUCUGGCUAGAGUCCGGAAGGGGCGAGUGGAAUUCCUGGUGUAGCGGUGAAAUGCGCAGAUAUCAGGAGGAACACCAAUGGCGAAGGCAGCUCGCUGGAACGAUACUGACGCUGAGGAGCGAAAGCGUGGGGAGCGAACAGG